AUGAAGAUGAACCUCCCCAGAUGGCGGCAGUCCUGCAGUUGUGCGUCGACGAACUCUGCUUGGUGUACCACAUCGCAGCGGCCACAAAAUGAUGAGCCCAAGCGCCUGACCGACAUGCUGCAGCAUGACAAGUUGUUCACAUUUGCCGGUUUCAACAUUGAAAGCGACAAAGAGAAGCUGAAGUUGUCCCGUAUGGAGAUCAACCCCAACAAGUUCAUCGACAUUCAGCGCAAGUGGAGAGUUCCAUACACCGGAAAAGAGUACGACUCCUUGACUGAUGUUGCAGCCAGCGUCAUCCACCCAUUCUACAAAGGCAUGAAGAACAAGAUCAACACGCAGGAAGACUACAAACUGUGGGGGACAAGCGAGCUGCCAGACAACCUCAUCGAGUACGCAGGAGUAGAUGCGUACGCCGCGUAUAAGUCAUGGUUCAUGAUCGACUACAUCACAGAUGGUUCGGAAUUUGCGAAAGAGCGGGAGGCUAACAACUUCUACGACCACCCCUAUUGCCCCUUUACGGGAUGA
RNAcentral lists this ribosomal RNA (525 nucleotides) under Triticum aestivum (bread wheat). RNAcentral describes it as "partial small subunit ribosomal RNA". The record is from RNAcentral. Lineage: Eukaryota; Viridiplantae; Streptophyta; Magnoliopsida; Poales; Poaceae.